Molecule: ribosomal RNA, 480 nt
Filed under: Triticum aestivum (bread wheat)
Lineage: Eukaryota; Viridiplantae; Streptophyta; Magnoliopsida; Poales; Poaceae
Description: partial small subunit ribosomal RNA
Source: RNAcentral
AUGCCACGACCGCAGAUUUGUGGGACAAGUAUCUCCGGAAGUCUACAUCUGAUGUCUGAGAGCACGUGCGGAGAUGUUAUGAUCAGAUUUUUUACUGCGGUGGUCAAGGUGUUUGGACCUAACUACUUGAGAGAACCAACUGCCACGGACACCGAAAGACUCUUGGCAAUGUCCGAAGCAAGAGGUGGCCUUAUUUGCUCGGAUCUCUUGAUUGCAUGCACCAGAGAUGAAAGAACUUCCCAAAAGCUCUACAAGGGCAAUAUGAGGGCCAUGUUAAGAAGCACAACAUCAUUUUUGAAGCAGUUUCAUAAUCACAUGACAUGUGGAUUUGAUAUGCUUUUUUUGACAUGUCUCGAUCUCACAAUGACAUCAAUGUACUACAGCAGUCUUCAUUGUUUGCUAGGUUGUCUAAAAAUUAAACUUCUUCUUGCAACUAUACUGUCAAUGGGCAUGAGUACAAGAUGGCUACCAUAUGGCUAA